Non-coding RNA from Rhinolophus ferrumequinum (greater horseshoe bat), 73 nucleotides. NCBI's taxonomy places the organism in Eukaryota, Metazoa, Chordata, Mammalia, Chiroptera, Rhinolophidae. The record is from the annotation of a RefSeq genome assembly.
GGCUGAUUGGCUCAGUGGUUAGAGUGCAGUGCUUGUAACACCAAGAUUGCGGGUUCAAUUCCCACAUGGGCCA